This 1520-nucleotide long non-coding RNA is filed under the name Daphnia magna. RNAcentral's name for it is "uncharacterized LOC123474696". The record is from RNAcentral. Lineage: Eukaryota; Metazoa; Arthropoda; Branchiopoda; Diplostraca; Daphniidae.
CUGGGUGCCUGUUCAUCGCUGAAAAUGUUUCAUUCCUAGUCGAUUGCAGACGAAUGGGGUCGCAAGGAAAGAGUCGUGGGGAUGACACAUGGCUUCACUUUCGUGUUAUUUUCAUAAAACUUAGGUUUGAAAAAUAUGAAUAAUAUAAUAAUAUGCUUGAUCUAAUGUCAGACUGUGUGAGGCUGAAAGGCAGUCUUACAAAAAUGGAUUUGAGAUUAUCAAUGAGAAAAAUGUGUUAUUAUGCUAUGUAGCAUGAAUAGGGACUUGGUUACUUUACACAAAACUGGAAGGGCCAUUGCAUUACUUCCUCAUCCAUCUUGGCAAUUGGUUUGGUAAAGCGAUCAAUGCCAGGGAAUUUUAGCAAUUAACCUGCAUUUUCAAGAUGUCUUGAAUUCCUCCCACAUAAUUGGUUAAACGAGUGAAAAUGGCCACUUUCUCACUCUGAAGUUUUCCGUCACUGGUUUUCAGAAGGAAGAUAGUGAUUCCAAUCUGAGUGUUGUUGCUUAUUAUUGGACCACCCUCAUCCCCCUGAAAUGAAUCAAACAGCACACAGAUAACAUUCUGAAGGAAAGUACAAUUAAACCUUACCUUUCAAACACUCCAGCCUUCAGUUCUUUCAGCACAGAGGUGAUAUACGAGACGCGGCACCCAAUUUCAAUCGAAAGUCGUUAUGCAAUUUCCGAAACUUCUCCUUCAAAUAAGCCAUCUGUAUCGCAACCAUAUUCCAUAUCCUCUCUUCCCUGUUGCGUGGCCAAAUGCGUAAUAUUUUAGGAAUUAAUCUGGUCUAGCAUCAGACCCGUAAUUGGGAAAAUAGAUUUUUUUUCCUCAGCUGAAAAUACAUUGAACCAGGAAGUGUAGAAGCCAUAGCUGAUCCACAGCUAAACAAACACUGUAGCCAGUAUACUCAUGCCAUUGUACCCUUGCCAGUGCUGAAUAGCAGGGUAAUUUCGAACAAGCUUUCACGUUUUCCAGCUGCACUUUUGUCUGCUGUAAUGCUAAAACCGGAAGACCGCCGUUAUUAUUUUAAACCUUUAACUUCCUUUAUUAGUAUUAUAUACAGGUGUUUGUGCUUUGAUUCAACCUGAUUAUGUGAAAGAGUUGCUUUCUUUGAAAAUGACAAAAAGUCUUAUUGAGUACUUAUAUAAUUCCAAAAUCCGCCAAAAUUGAAAAUGGAAUUUUGUUGCUUGGCUUAAGACGACAAUCAUGUUAAGUACGAAGAGUCCAAGAAAAAUGUCUCCGAUUAAUGUUUAGAAAGACGAUUUCACUUGGCACGUUGCGUACAUCAUUUUUUCGGCUGACGGCGCGUAUGUUUGUCGCAUCGGAUUCAACGUUUUGUUAAGGUGGCCAAUCAAAUUGAGAGAAAUCCCAUUAGAUCUAAUGAUUUGAUUCUGGACUUGUGAAACGGUAGCAAGUACAUUGAUACGUUCGCCAUUUUUAUUCUGCGGACAACGAAUGCAGACGCUGGUGAUUAUCCUUCUGAAUGGUCUGCCAGUUCAACGUUAUUACGAGAAUUAACCUCU